AAGCCGCGGCGUUCCAUGCACCACUGCGCCGCCGUCGCGCCACCUCCGGCCACCAUCUUCACACCACUUCAUCCUCGACCUUUUAGCAACCCAUUAGACCCAAUCCCAGCUCCAAUCCGCCACCGGUGAAGCUCCACUAUCUACAUUUCCGAUUUGGACAUUUUUGGCCUUAA
Juglans microcarpa x Juglans regia is the source of this 173-nucleotide long non-coding RNA. RefSeq lists it as uncharacterized. The transcript has 3 exons. Lineage: Eukaryota; Viridiplantae; Streptophyta; Magnoliopsida; Fagales; Juglandaceae. The record is from RefSeq and is a predicted model, not a curated record.